This 1330-nucleotide unclassified non-coding RNA is filed under the name Leishmania donovani. RNAcentral describes it as "gene:LdHU3.27.0250(CDS-product:hypothetical_prote in_conserved)". Lineage: Eukaryota; Euglenozoa; Kinetoplastea; Trypanosomatida; Trypanosomatidae. The record is from RNAcentral.
CCGCCCUCGUCUGCGGGUGACGCACGCUACCGGAAUGGAGUCGAGAGGCCGUGUUCUUGGUGCGGUACGCACACUCUCUGAAGCUGUGUCGGCGCAAGGCAAGUGCGAGAACUCGCGCAGUCUAGUAAUCCAGGUCGUGUCAGGCAGCUGCGAGUCGUUUAGCUUGCACCAGCUAGAGCAGGCGCUGUGCUACUUCACGAACCACAACAGCAACUACACAAACGUAUGCGAGGAUGAGUUUCACGUGUUGGCAGAGGAGACUCUGAACAACUUGAUCCGAUCCAUUCUUGUUUACGACGACUUCUCCGGCUUCUUCGGCGAUGCCGAAGUUUACUCCCUCUCCAUGGCGUUUCAAUACAACCUUUCCGUGGAGGCACUCACUCUGAGAGGCAUCAACAUCAGCGACGAGGCGAUUUGUUCCCUCUGCGAGGCGCUCGUGCGGUCCCGAGUGAACUACAUUGACCUCUCAAACACUCCGUUGGAGGAUGAAGCAGGCCGGUCUAUCGCUGCCUUGGCCCACAUCAACCCGUAUCUGCGCACCGUCAUCGUGGAUGACACCCUCAUCGCCGAUGAUGUGCUGGACGAGAUCGACGUUGCCUGUCAGUUCAACCAGAGCAACUUUGAAGGCAACAAGGGAGAGGUGGAUGAAUCAGUGCUCCGCCCCGCUGAUCUCGGUCGCUUGAAGCACCGCCUCCAGCAGAUCGUUCGAGCUCAGGAAAAGAAGGUGCACUACUGCGUUGCGCACUUGUUCGGAUGCUGCCCGAACGGCGAGAUGUGCCUCUACUCCCACUCCCUCGGGAAGAGCGGAAUGGACGAGACUGAUACGUCGCUCUCUGCAAAGAUAUCGGAGCUGUUCGCUAACGGUGGCAACUGGGAGGAGCGGUUGCCACCGCGCCCUACUGACGGCCCUUCCUGGCGCAAUCCAGAGGACGAGGCCAAGCGAACUCCUCGCGUCAACAACGCACGACGUCGAAGAGAACAGGACAGCAACACCCCCGCGGCAGCGCCUGCGCCGGCUGCGAUGCCGCCGGUGCAGCAGACACGAUGGUCACCGUUGCUGAGUGGACUGGCGGGUAUGUGCUGCGGUUUUCUUGCUGUGGGGCUUGUGGGCGUUGUUACGCGACGUCAGGCACCCCGUCCCUCAUCUGGUUAGAGGAAGCGCGACAGCACGCUCUUUGUCACGCCGCGCAUUCCCUUUCUGUACAUUAAACACAGACAACGGUGAAGGAAAAGGACAAGGAGUGGAGCGUGUCGGCUCGUUGUACUCAGGUGGGCGAAGCGCCUCAUUCAUCGCUCAGCUCAUAUCCUCUUCCUCUCACGACACUCGCGG